Molecule: ribosomal RNA, 250 nt
Filed under: uncultured Agaricomycetes
Lineage: Eukaryota; Fungi; Basidiomycota; Agaricomycetes
Description: partial small subunit ribosomal RNA
Rfam family: Eukaryotic small subunit ribosomal RNA
Source: RNAcentral
AGCUCCAAUAGCGUAUAUUAAAGUUGUUGCAGUUAAAAAGCUCGUAGUUGAACUUCAGAUCUGGUCGGGUGGUCCGCUUAACAGCGUGUUACUGCUUGACUGGGUCUUGUCUCUUGGUGAACCAUCGUGUCCUUUAUUGGAUGCUUUGCGGAACCAGGACUUUUACCUUGAGAAAAUUAGAGUGUUCAAAGCAGGCCUUUGCCUGAAUACAUUAGCAUGGAAUAAUAGAAUAGGACGUGCGGUUCUAUUU